GAGACUAAGUUAUGGGCUUUUUAUUUUAGUUGAUCCUUAAUUAUAUGAUGAGGCUGACCCAGUAUUGUGUAGGGUUUUAGCAAGACGAUGUCGCAUCCGGUGAAGAAGACGCCGUAACCAUUUGUGUACCUAUGGAAUCCGAUCAAAAUCUCUGUAACGGAUGAGUUUCUGCUUAACUCCUCCAUCAAUUGACUCAUUAAACUGCAUUCAACUUCCUUCCCCUCCGCUCAUUAUUUGAGCCUCAUCAUCGUCAAAGGUAACGGCUACAACCUCGAGCUAUAAAUGAGUAUUUUCGAUGCACUGUAUACCUCCACCGCUCAGAUAUCUGCAAGAUUCAACUCUGUCAAGCAUCACCUCAAAUUAUGUCGACUUCAUAUGUUCUUUUCGCCGAUUUGAAAGCUGCGAGAUGCUUAAACACCACUGAUAUCCAUCUGCUGAGAAGAAAGCCGGUGAGCUGAUAGGCGUUGAACUCAUCGAUUUGAAGUCUUCGCUAAUCCAGACAUCAAUAUGUGUUCACCGGCUCAACACUUCCCGACAUCAUCUCAGUGAAGGUUUUGUGUACUAGCUCAGUGGUUUCGAUGUCAUACAGACUCCCCUGUCUCCAUUCGAUUCAAUGAUGGUACUUCGUUUGCAGCAAAAGCUGAAUCGGUUAAAACUGCAAAGAAGGGAGUUUUGUUCAGCAUUGGAGUGAGUUGUUAUUUACUACAUCUGGUCUUUACUGAUAGAGUAGAGAUUCACAAUAUCGUCAAUCUAAGGAACGAUGUAGAGAGGCUUCUUGAAUGUUAUAACGAUGUAUUGAGACGAAAACAUCAAGAGAUUAUUAAGAUAUGCUGCAAUAUAGAGAAAUUAUUAGAAUUUCAGGUUGAAGCAGAACUUCAAACUGAGUUUGAGCUUCUUCAGAUUGGAAAAAAACAGGAGGGUAACUAUUCCAAGCUCAAGGUAAACUACUUGACUUUAAAGUCCUUGAUAUUCAAGCGGUCAAAGAUUUGGAUUCUUUGUCUCAACUCCAACGCCCUAGGCUCCCACAUAACAUUAAUCUUUAUUGUCUUUUCUAAUGGAACUGUUUUUUUCUGAAACGGUUUAUAUGUUAAUUUUCAAUUCCUUACAAUUUGCAGGAAUUUUAAAAGAAAUGUCACGUUUUCGGCAAGGAAAUAUCAUUCUGAGAUUAACGUUUGUAAAUGAUUUACAGCUACAUUUUACAUAUAAUCCACAAAUAUUUAAGUUAAAGCACAAAUAAAAAUUCAUAAAUACAAGAUAAUUCAUUUAUGAUUUUUUCUCAUGUCUAAUCAAACAAAGACCAAAUAAGAUAAAAGAUAAAAUAAGAAUUGGCUUUCAUGAUUUUUUUCUUUCUCGGUCAUUAAGUUCAUAAAAUUAACAAAAACUGAUAGAUAACCACAUCCAAUAAUUAAUUCGUAAUCAAAAUAUAUUCUUAAAAUUCAAAUUCAGUUAUAGCUUCUAAAACAUGAGUUAUCAAUCAAAUAAUUCAAAUCUCUUGCCAAUAUUUCAGAAAGAAAAAACAAGUAUUGACAUUAAAAUACAAAUAAAAUGUAUCAAAUAAAAUACAAAAAAAAGACAGAAAUAACAAAUAAUAAUUAAAAGAGUGUCAUAAAAUAAACAUUUUUAUGAAUUCAACAACUAUAAUGCUUAUAUCCAUCACAAUGAUCUAGACAGUUUAGAUCAAACUCAUGUUUCAAAAAAAAAAAAAGCAAAAAU
Molecule: long non-coding RNA, 1713 nt
Organism: Brassica napus (rape)
Lineage: Eukaryota; Viridiplantae; Streptophyta; Magnoliopsida; Brassicales; Brassicaceae
Exons: 4
Source: RefSeq, a predicted model, not a curated record